CACGCCGUAAACGAUGGGUACUAGGUGUUGGGGGUAUCGACUCCCUCAGUGCCGGAGUUAACACAUUAAGUACCCCGCCUGGGGAGUACGUUCGCAAGAAUGAAACUCAAAGGAAUUGACGGGGGCCCGCACAAGCGGUGGAGCAUGUGGUUUAAUUCGACGCAACGCGAAGAACCUUACCAAGGCUUGACAUCCCUCUGGCCGGACUUUAAUCGGUCCUUUUCUUCGGAACAGAGGAGACAGGUGG
Molecule: ribosomal RNA, 247 nt
Filed under: uncultured Eubacteriales bacterium
Lineage: Bacteria; Bacillati; Bacillota; Clostridia; Eubacteriales
Description: uncultured Clostridiales bacterium partial 16S ribosomal RNA
Rfam family: Bacterial small subunit ribosomal RNA
Source: RNAcentral